Molecule: ribosomal RNA, 1439 nt
Filed under: uncultured bacterium
Lineage: Bacteria
Description: partial 16S ribosomal RNA
Rfam family: Bacterial small subunit ribosomal RNA
Source: RNAcentral
AGAGUUUGAUCGUGGCUCAGAACGAACGCUGGCGGCAUGCCUCUCACAUGCAAGUCGAACGAGACCUUCGGGUCUCUUGGCGCACGGGUGCGUCUCGCGUGGGAAUCUGCCCUUUGCUUCGGAAUCUCAGUUCUAAAUCUCUGCUCUUACCGGAUCUUGUCUUCGGACCAAAGAUUUAUCGGCGAAGGAUCUGCCCGCGUCUGAUUCUGUCUUUGGUGGGGUCUCUGCCUACCAAGCCGACGAUCCUUCUCUGGUCUCUCUGGAUCUUCAGCCACACUGGGACUGGGACACGGCCCAGACUCCUACGGGAGGCAGCAGUGGGGAAUAUUGGACAAUGGGCGCAAGCCUCUUCCAGCAAUGCCGCGUCUGUCUUCUCUGCCUUCGGGUCGUCUCUCUCUUUUACCAGGGAUCUUCUUCUCAGUACCUGGAGAAUCUGCUCCGGCUCUCUCCGUGCCAGCAGCCGCGGUCUUACGGAGGGAGCUCUCGUUGUUCGGAAUUACUGGGCGUCUCUCUUACGUCUGCGGCUAUUCAAGUCAGAGGUCUCUGCCCGGGGCUCAACCCCGGAACUGCCUUUCUCUCUCUGUCUCUCUCUUCUUGGAGAGGUCAGUGGAAUUCCGAGUGUCUCUGUCUCUUUCGUCUAUAUUCGGAAGAACACCAGUGGCGAAGGCGACUCUCUGGACAAGUAUUCUCGCUCUGGUACGAAAGCGUGGGGAGCAAACAGGAUUCUAUACCCUGGUCUUCCACGCCGUCUACGAUCUUCUCUCUUUGUUCGGUCACUUGGUCUCUCUGUCUCGCAGCUCUCGCAUUCUGUUAUCCGCCUGGGGAGUACGGUCGCAAGAUUCUCUCUCAAAGGAAUUCUCGGGGGCCUGCACAAGCGGUGGAGCAUGUGGUUUCUUUCGAAGCAACGCGCAGAACCUUACCAGCGUUUCUCAUCCCGCGCUACUUCCAGAGAUGGAAGGUUCCCUUCGGGGACGCGGUCUCAGGUGCUGCAUGGCUGUCGUCAGCUCGUGUCGUCUCUUGUUGGGUUCUGUCCCGCAACGAGCGCAACCCUCGUCCUUCUUUGCCAUCAUUCAGUUGGGCACUCUCUGGAAACCGCCGGUCUUCUGCCGGAGGAAGGUGGGGAUCUCGUCAAGUCCUCAUGGCCCUUACACGCUGGGCUACACACGUGCUACAAUGGCGGUCUCAGUGGGCAGCAGACUCGCGAGGGUCUGCUCUUCUCCAAAAGCCGUCUCAGUUCGGAUUGUUCUCUGCAACUCGAGAGCAUCUCUGCGGAAUCGCUCUUCUUCGCGGAUCAGCAUGCCGCGGUCUAUACGUUCCCAGGCCUUGUACACACCGCCCGUCACACCAUGGGAGUUGGUUUCACCCGAAGGCAGUGCGCUCUCCGCAAGGAGGCAGCUCUCCACGGUGGGAUCAGCGACUGGGGUGAAGUCGUAACAAGG